Molecule: ribosomal RNA, 1131 nt
Filed under: Triticum aestivum (bread wheat)
Lineage: Eukaryota; Viridiplantae; Streptophyta; Magnoliopsida; Poales; Poaceae
Description: partial small subunit ribosomal RNA
Source: RNAcentral
AUGGAUGGACAACAUGAUGUGAGAUCUUCAAAUAUGAAAAAUGGUUGUGAUGUAGUGACCAACUCUGACAAUAUGAAGGCAGUUGAUCAUAUUGAUAGAAUAAGAGAUGAGAAUGUUCAUAGGAGGUAUGACUUGAGGAGUGCAAGAUUUAAGAGUACUUCUGAUGUACCUAGUAGUUCGAGCAAAAGAAAGCUGAAUCGACAUGAUGGAAGGAACAAUGAGCACAUGAACAGAAAAAAUGUAGUGAGGAGUCCAACAGUCCAAAGUAGUUCCAUCCAGCAAAAAUGGAUUACCAAGAGCAAGUACAAUAUAACUCGUGGGCACAAAAAUAAGAAGAGGACGGAAGCAACGCUAAGUUUUGGAAGUCAGUACCAUGUUACCGCCCAUCAAAUGGGGUACUUUCUUUCUGAUGCGUGUUAUGCUUGUGGGAAACCACGAGGUCCAUGCAUGCCAAUGAAGAGAGACAAACAAUUUUUCAGCCUUCCAAUAGUAUCUUCACAUAGAGAAUUUCUGACAAUACCUUGCAAUCUUCGUGAAAAGGUUAACAAGAUGGGUGAAGAUACGAUAAAUAUUGAAGAUAUGUAUCAAAGAAAUUACAAAGUUAAACUUGUAAAAGCUUCUGCAAUGACGUUUCUGUGUGGAAGUGGGUGGCAAGAAUUUGUGAUUACUCAUGAUAUUGAUGAUGGUGAUCGAGUUUGUUUCCACUUCAAAGAAGACUUGGUGACCAUGAUUGCAUUUGUUUACCGAGAUAAGCUUGUAUGGCGUGAUGGAAAGAAGGUUAUUGCGACAAAUGAAGUUCAACCAACUUACAUGAAAGGGCUUGUCCGUUCUUUCAAAAUGGAGAUGAGUAGCACUGACAUGAAUUGCAUGCUUACACUUAACAUGUCUAUUACUGAAGAACUAUGCUUGCCAAGAGAAGGUGAAGUUACACUUAUCAAUCGCAGAGGUGAUGUUAAAGUGGAAGAUGGAUACUCCAUUUCUGCUGAUGAUGGUUGUCUUGGUUUGACAUAUGGCUGGAAGGAUUUUCUUGAAAGAUUUCCAAUUCCAAUUAGAUCUAUCAUUGAAGUGAAUGUGGUGAAAGAGAAUAAUAAGUUGAUCAUGUACUUCCUACUGCUGGAGGUAGAUGUGUAG